UGGGGAACUUGAGUGCAGAAGAGGAGAGUGGAAUUCCACGUGUAGCGGUGAAAUGCGUAGAGAUGUGGAGGAACACCAGUGGCGAAGGCGACUCUCUGGUCUGUAACUGACGCUGAGGAGCGAAAGCGUGGGGAGCGAACAGGAUUAGAUACCCUGGUAGUUCACGCCGUAAACGAUGAGUGUUAAGUGUUAGGGGGUUUCCGCCCCUUAGUGCUGCAGCUAACGCAUUAAGCACUCCGCCUGGGGAGUACGGUCGCAAGACUGAAACUCAAAGGAAUUGACGGGGGCCCGCACAAGCGGUGGAGCAUGUGGUUUAAUUUGAAGCAACGCGAAGAACCUUACCAGGUCUUGACAUCCUCUGACAAUCCUAGAGAUAGGACGUCCCCUUCGGGGGCAGAGUGACAGGUGGUGCAUGGUUGUCGUCAGCUCGUGUCGUGAGAUGUUGGGUUAAGUCCCGCAACGAGCGCAACCCUUGAUUUUAGUUGCCAGCAUUCAGUUGGGCACUCUAAGGUGACUGCCGGUGACAAACCGGAGGAAGGUGGGGAUGACGUCAAAUCAUCAUGCCCCUUAUGACCUGGGCUACACACGUGCUACAAUGGACAGAACAAAGGGCAGCGAAACCGCGAGGUUAAGCCAAUCCCACAAAUCUGUUCUCAGUUCGGAUCGCAGUCUGCAACUCGACUGCGUGAAGCUGGAAUCGCUAGUAAUCGC
Molecule: ribosomal RNA, 711 nt
Filed under: Bacillus subtilis
Lineage: Bacteria; Bacillati; Bacillota; Bacilli; Caryophanales; Bacillaceae
Description: bacterial SSU rRNA
Rfam family: Bacterial small subunit ribosomal RNA
Source: RNAcentral